GAUGAACGCUGGCGGCGUGCCUAAUACAUGCAAGUCGAGCGAACAGAUAAGGAGCUUGCUCCUAUGACGUUAGCGGCGGACGGGUGAGUAACACGUGGGUAACCUACCUAUAAGACUGGGAUAACUUCGGGAAACCGGAGCUAAUACCGGAUAACAUUUGGAACCGCAUGGUUCUAAAGUGAAAGAUGGUUUUGCUAUCACUUAUAGAUGGACCCGCGCCGUAUUAGCUAGUUGGUAAGGUAACGGCUUACCAAGGCAACGAUACGUAGCCGACCUGAGAGGGUGAUCGGCCACACUGGAACUGAGACACGGUCCAGACUCCUACGGGAGGCAGCAGUAGGGAAUCUUCCGCAAUGGGCGAAAGCCUGACGGAGCAACGCCGCGUGAGUGAUGAAGGGUUUCGGCUCGUAAAACUCUGUUAUUAGGGAAGAACAAACGUGUAAGUAACUGUGCACGUCUUGACGGUACCUAAUCAGAAAGCCACGGCUAACUACGUG
RNAcentral lists this ribosomal RNA (497 nucleotides) under uncultured bacterium. RNAcentral describes it as "partial 16S ribosomal RNA". It matches the Rfam family "Bacterial small subunit ribosomal RNA", at positions 28 to 507 of the family's 1533-position model. The record is from RNAcentral.